Long non-coding RNA from Humulus lupulus (European hop), 1422 nucleotides. RefSeq lists it as uncharacterized. NCBI's taxonomy places the organism in Eukaryota, Viridiplantae, Streptophyta, Magnoliopsida, Rosales, Cannabaceae. The record is from RefSeq and is a predicted model, not a curated record. The transcript has 5 exons.
CUUUCCCUCUUUUCCCUCUCUUCCCUGAAGCUCUCUCGCUCUUUCUCUCACUACUGCGUUGCCUCUGCCAUGCCCGAACAGUUGUCGUCCCAUCGCCGGAGCCGUACAUGCGCCAGCCUAGUCUAACCGUCGGCCCUCGAAAUGUCGACCCCCGCAAGCUCACCACGGUACGCGCCGCCUAGGGCUGUCAACCAACGGUCCGAAGCUGUCUGCCUCCUGCACUUUUUGGCAAGAUUCCGACUACCCCAAGCUUAACCACCAUCACCACCAUACUCCUCGUGGUCUAAGCUUCAAAGCCAACCCAAGGAUCGACCUCACUAGUGGUCGGAAAAAGAAAGGGUAUUCAUCGAAAUCCAUGGAGGUCCAAAGCUUCCAAGAGAAAAUCCGACCAUUCUAGGCCGUUCCAAGCUAAACCAUCACCACCACGAGACUCCCCGAGCUUUGGGCUUUGAAGCCCGGCCACUGCUUUCCCGAACCACCACCGUGGGGUGGUGGCGUCGCCACCUUCGCCGGAGCUCCGGUGAGGGUCUCGGCUAGCCUCCACUUUUGGUAGUUCCGACGUUCGUCUCGAGCUCCCAAUGUCACUUUCAAGCCCGUUGCACUAUCCUGAGCAUUAUGGUCGUGGUGAUGAGGGCGCUUAUAGUUGUACAGAGGGAUGGUUGAUUCAAAGCUGGUUUCUUUCAUGGCUUUGUUAAAUUUCCUUUUGAUUUUGGAAAAUGGAACAAUGAAUGUAAUGCUAAAUUUCUCAUAUAGUGUCGCUGAAGACUUUGCCUAGAAUUCGUAUGGAAUAUUAUGCUCAACCUGUUCUUCAUAUAUCUUGGAUGUCUCAUCUCAACAUAAUGUAAAAGGUUUCAAAAUAUUCUGAUGUGAGUCCUUGCUUGAAAAUCUGAUGGACAUUUCACAGCACUAUUAUGGAAUACAACAAGCUUCAUAGCACGAAUGUUAAGAUGGAAUACAACUUCAGCUGCUGCUUUGUAUUUAAUGGAAGAAUCUCAGUGCUAUGGUGACUUGUAUGAAGAAUCUCAGUGAUGGACUCAUAGUGUUCAGAUGUAUUUGAUAGCGUCAAAUUAGCCUGCAAGCAGUGUCAUAUGCAUGAAGAUAUGAACAUGGACUAGGCAUCUGAGAAAGUGUUUGUGGAGCUGGCUGCAUCAUGGGUCAAAACUAAAAAGGAGUUGGUGAGAUGAAAUAUAGUAUUAUGAUGGCUUUUGACUAUAUGAUCCAACUAUCUAAAAAUGAUCAUUGAGUUCUUUAGAAUCAAAUAAUGUAGUUCACUAACUUUGUAUACAUUCUUGUUUUGUAUUUGGUCAUGAUGGAUUUUGAAUUGAGUAUAAAUUAUCUUGUAAUAUGAUAUUGUAAGCCUACAAUGGUAUACUAAAUAGUUGUAAUUAUAUUUGAAUAAUUAAUAAAAGUUUAUUUAUGUUA